AACGAACGCUGGCGGCAUGCCUAACACAUGCAAGUCGAACGAUCCCUUCGGGGAUAGUGGCGCACGGGUGCGUAACGCGUGGGAACCUGCCCUUAGGUUCGCAAUAACUCAGAGAAAUUUGAGCUAAUACCGGAUAAUGUCUUCGGACCAAAGAUUUAUCGCCUUUGGAUGGGCCCGCGUUGGAUUAGCUAGUUGGUGGGGUAAAGGCCUACCAAGGCGACGAUCCAUAGCUGGUCUGAGAGGAUGAUCAGCCACACUGGGACUGAGACACGGCCCAGACUCCUACGGGAGGCAGCAGUGGGGAAUAUUGGACAAUGGGCGAAAGCCUGAUCCAGCAAUGCCGCGUGAGUGAUGAAGGCCUUAGGGUUGUAAAGCUCUUUUACCCGGGAUGAUAAUGACAGUACCGGGAGAAUAAGCCCCGGCUAACUCCGUG
This 433-nucleotide ribosomal RNA is filed under the name uncultured bacterium. RNAcentral describes it as "partial 16S ribosomal RNA". It matches the Rfam family "Bacterial small subunit ribosomal RNA", at positions 29 to 507 of the family's 1533-position model. The record is from RNAcentral.